Molecule: long non-coding RNA, 852 nt
Organism: Astatotilapia calliptera (eastern happy)
Lineage: Eukaryota; Metazoa; Chordata; Actinopteri; Cichliformes; Cichlidae
Source: Ensembl
AAUUAAGACUUAAUUCAAUUAAUUGAUUAAUUUUAAUUGCAUUUUCUUGUUUAAGAACACAUUUGAUUUGUUUCAUCCUGGAUCUCCAUCAGCGGGUCUCAGGCUGUGGAGGUCCAUCCAGAAGAAAUCAUGCUGCAGCGCUCCAUCGUCCACUUCUUAACAAUCUGGUUCACUCAUCCAGCUGGAUCAGAGUCAUGUUUACAACUGACAAAAGUGCUGCAUGCUGCGAAGGAUUUCAGAGUGGAUCAUCGGAAAUGACUUUCAGCAUCUCAACCAUCUUCUUCCUAACCAAACAUGUGGAUGUAUUUGGCUCUGGAAUGUAUUUCUAUGGAUUUAAUGCAGAUGUAUAUCCAGGUUUUAGAAUGAUACACUUAAAAAAAUAAAGAUCCAAUCUUUGUUUGUUGGAGGAGGCUGGAACAAUCACAACAGUCUAUCCUGAUUCUCUUAUAAUGAGAGUUAGAUGAAGUUCUGGACGUCAAUCUGAGCUCAACCACCUUAAGGCCACAGCUGCCAUAGGGACAGAAGCAGGGUACACCCUGAAAAGGUUACAAGUCCAUCACAUAACCAGACAAUCAUCAUUCCUCCAUGCUGUGAAAAAGUAUUUUCUCCAGGCCAUCGCACUACCGCCACCAUGUUUGACUGCUGGUGCUGUGUUUUUGUCUAUGUUAAUUUAGCUGUGCCAGGGCCCUGUUCCGAUUGGUGCGUGGACUUACUGCCCCGGCGUGAUUGGAUCCAGCUGGAGGACCCGCCCAAUAAAAGGAGGCUGGAGUGCUACAGCGGGAGAGGUCCUCGCAUUUCUCCUCAUCACCCAGCAGUAGUCCUGUGGUAGCCGCUGGCUGCAGUAUACGCGCG